RNAcentral lists this ribosomal RNA (253 nucleotides) under uncultured bacterium. Its description in RNAcentral is "partial 16S ribosomal RNA". It matches the Rfam family "Bacterial small subunit ribosomal RNA", at positions 524 to 776 of the family's 1533-position model. The record is from RNAcentral.
UACGGAGGGUGCAAGCGUUAUCCGGAAUCACUGGGUUUAAAGGGUGCGUAGGCGGCUUAGUAAGUCAGUGGUGAAAGACUGUGGCUUAACCAUGGAAUUGCCAUUGAUACUGCUGAGCUUGAAUCAGGUUGAGGUUGGCGGAAUGUGACAUGUAGCGGUGAAAUGCUUAGAUAUGUCAUGGAACACCGAUUGCGUAGGCAGCUCACUAAGCCGUAACUGACGCUGAGGCACGAAAGCGUGGGGAGCAAACAGG